Molecule: transfer RNA, 84 nt
Filed under: bacterium
Lineage: Bacteria
Also listed under: 1 other name
Description: tRNA-Leu
Rfam family: tRNA
About the family: Transfer RNA (tRNA) molecules are approximately 80 nucleotides in length. Their secondary structure includes four short double-helical elements and three loops (D, anti-codon, and T loops). Further hydrogen bonds mediate the characteristic L-shaped molecular structure. tRNAs have two regions of fundamental functional importance: the anti-codon, which is responsible for specific mRNA codon recognition, and the 3' end, to which the tRNAs corresponding amino acid is attached (by aminoacyl-tRNA synthetases). tRNAs cope with the degeneracy of the genetic code in two manners: having more than one tRNA (with a specific anti-codon) for a particular amino acid; and 'wobble' base-pairing, i.e. permitting non-standard base-pairing at the 3rd anti-codon position.
Source: RNAcentral
GCCGGAGUGGUGGAAUUGGUAGACGCGAGGGACUCAAAAUCCCUUGACCGCAAGGUCGUGUCGGUUCGAGUCCGACCUCCGGCA